AAGGAGGACGUGGCCGAAGGCAGGACUGGUAAUUAGGGUGAAGUCGUAACAAGGUAGCCGUAUCGGAAGGUGCGGCUGGAUCACCUCCUUU
Molecule: ribosomal RNA, 91 nt
Filed under: Butyricicoccus intestinisimiae
Lineage: Bacteria; Bacillati; Bacillota; Clostridia; Eubacteriales; Butyricicoccaceae
Description: partial 16S ribosomal RNA
Rfam family: Bacterial small subunit ribosomal RNA
Source: RNAcentral